UGAGCUCUUGUGUAAUUGACAGCCCUGCUCAGACAAAGGAGGACUACUGGACAUCAGUUUGACUGACACCAGCCUUCUCCAGCACUACUACAAUCAAUAACCAUUAACAGAAGUCUACUGGACUUGUGGAUUUACUGCUAUUAAUAAGCCGUGUCUAUCUGGGUGUAGUUUAUGAAGGAACUUUUAGGUCUGUAACUAAAAGGAACUGCUUUUCUGUAGUUUUGUAGCCUUAUCCCUGGGCUUGGAGAGAACCACAACUCUUAGAGCCAGAAGGGAGAAACAACAGAGGGAAGCUUCUCUUCAGAGCUGGUGAACGGUGAUGCGGUUUGUGCACGGCUUCAGAGGUAGCUGCCUUGCUUCCCUGUGGUUUCUAAGCCACCGUCCUGCAUGCACAAGAGAGGAGCAGAACCUGAGCUGUGUGGGAACACCAGCUGCUCAGCCUGGUGUCUCUGGCCCUUCUGCCUGGGGAUCUGGAGCUAUUGGUCAGGCAUCACACUGCGACCCAGUGAACUCAGCCCAUCCGUAUAGCUGGAACAUCUGUCAGGGAUGAACACGGGCUCUCCACAGGCUGCUGUGCCAAAUUCCUGAGAAAUAAACCCUCUCAAUCAGGGUGCUGUUGUUGACAGUGCACUUACGGAGGAUGUGAGUGUCAGCUCCAUCCUAGCAGAGUUAAACCCUGCAGGAUCCCUGCCCUGCUGGUGUCCCCAUUUUGUUGAUAAACGAACAGAGAAAGCCUUAUCAAAAUGAACAGAAUGCAGCCCUGCUAAUGUAGCUCCACUUGUGCUGAAGAUAAUUGAUGCUUUAAUAACGCUACACAUUAUCCAGGUUGUGGUUGGAGUGUACAUGUGAGGAGAGGCAUCAAUCACAGGUAGUUGUAUUCAACUUUUAUCAGUGUUCAGGUGGGUGGCAAAGUGUGUUCUGUGCUGCUCUGGGGGAAGGAGCGUUGGGCUCUGAGAUAGCAAGUGAAUGAAUCAUCACCUGCCUUUCGCCUGUAUCAAUUUCCUGCAGAUUGGGAGAGGGAGGAUUUACGUUUGCAAUUAUUUUCAAUUUAACUUUCAAUUAUUGCAGCAGGACACAGGAGAUGCCAUGUGCUGCUGUGCUGGAAACAGACUUGAUGAUGAAAACUGCAGCUCCCACCUGGAAGGCCUUCGGUCUCAUGAUCUAGAAGAGAUGGAGAGCCAGGUCUCUACCUGUUGAUGCAGUACGUGACCCAACUGCCAGCCCUGUGGGGUUGUGGGCAGGCCAUGGGGAUGGCUGCUGAUUAUGCACCAUAGAGCCUUAUGGAGUGGCUUCCAUUAGCUGUGUUUGGCUGUAUCCAAGGGCCAGUGUAUAUUGAUGUUGUGUUUGAUGUAUUAAUGAUAUCUGACAUUUCCAUGGGGUGGCUCCAAGCCUCACUGAAGCCAACAGGAGCUGGAGUGGAUCUGCAGACAGAUCCCCUGCUGGUGCAUCCUCUCCCAGGCCUGGUGUCCUGCACUUGGUGCAUCAUGUGUGAAGCAGUAGUGGGCAGCUUUGAGAACGGUGCUCUCCUGUGGAGCUUUUCCUUGUUAAGAUGAUUCCUGAAGCAUCCUGCCUGGCAAAAAUGCCUCCUCUGGCCUGUGUCUGGCUGAAGGCUUGAUUUCUCAAAGAUAUUUAGUAAAUGAGCUCCUGUGUUCUUUGAGGAGUUCGCUGGGAAAGGGGUGUUUCCAUGUGAAAAUACCCUGGGAGGUGUUCUACUGGAGACACGCUGUUUAAAAAGUGCUGGAAAAAGGUGGAAAUCAGCAGUGCCCCACUGAGCUCAGCAUCCAGGCUACAGCACAGCACCUGGGAACCUGUUCUCCAUGGAGAGACCCAUUUGUCCUUGUACAGGUGAGUGAUGUGCAGUAAUAAUGUUGAACUAGAGCCUCAGAAGAGUGGCAAACGUUGAUCAUAUUUCUGAAGAGGUGAGGAAAAUUCCCAAAGGAUUUCAGACUUACUUUCAGGCUUGUCCUCUUUUGCUGAGCAUGCUUGCAUCCCUGCUGGCUGCUCCACACUUACCUGCGCUCCGGCUGCUGCCUGGGAACACUCAUGGCUCUCUUUGUUCUUUAACACAGUGGCGCUGUGAGCUCUUCCAG
Long non-coding RNA from Gallus gallus (chicken), 2090 nucleotides. NCBI's taxonomy places the organism in Eukaryota, Metazoa, Chordata, Aves, Galliformes, Phasianidae. The record is from Ensembl.